GACAGAGGGUGCGAACGUUGUUCGGAAUUACUGGGCGUAAAGCGCGCGUAGGCGGUGAUCUAUGUCAGAGGUGAAAUCCCGGGGCUCAACCCCGGAAUUGCCUUUGAAACGGGAUCGCUAGAGUCCGAGAGAGGAUGGCGGAAUUCCUAGUGUAGAGGUGAAAUUCGUAGAUAUUAGGAAGAACACCGGUGGCGAAGGCGGCCAUCUGGCUCGGUACUGACGCUCAGGCGCGAAAGCGUGGGGAGCAAACAGG
This 253-nucleotide ribosomal RNA is filed under the name uncultured bacterium. Its description in RNAcentral is "partial 16S ribosomal RNA". It matches the Rfam family "Bacterial small subunit ribosomal RNA", at positions 524 to 776 of the family's 1533-position model. The record is from RNAcentral.